GAUGAACGCUGGCGGCGUGCCUAAUACAUGCAAGUCGAGCGAACAGACGAGGAGCUUGCUCCUCUGACGUUAGCGGCGGACGGGUGAGUAACACGUGGAUAACCUACCUAUAAGACUGGGAUAACUUCGGGAAACCGGAGCUAAUACCGGAUAACAUGUUGAACCGCAUGGUUCAACAGUGAAAGACGGUCUUGCUGUCACUUAUAGAUGGAUCCGCGCCGCAUUAGCUAGUUGGUAAGGUAACGGCUUACCAAGGCAACGAGGCGUAGCCGACCUGAGAGGGUGAUCGGCCACACUGGAACUGAGAGACGGUCCAGACUCCUACGGGAGGCAGCAGUAGGGAAUCUUCCGAAAUGGGCGAAAGCCUGAAGGAGCAACGCCGCGUGAGUGAUGAAGGUCUUCGGAUCGUAAAACUCUGUUAUUAGGGAAGAAAAAAUGUGUAAGUAACUAUGCACGUCUUGACGGUACCUAAUCAGAAAGCCACGGCUAACUACGUG
This 497-nucleotide ribosomal RNA is filed under the name uncultured bacterium. RNAcentral describes it as "partial 16S ribosomal RNA". It matches the Rfam family "Bacterial small subunit ribosomal RNA", at positions 28 to 507 of the family's 1533-position model. The record is from RNAcentral.